This 484-nucleotide ribosomal RNA is filed under the name uncultured bacterium. RNAcentral describes it as "partial 16S ribosomal RNA". It matches the Rfam family "Bacterial small subunit ribosomal RNA", at positions 899 to 1397 of the family's 1533-position model. The record is from RNAcentral.
ACUCAAAGGAAUUGACGGGGGCCCGCACAAGCAGCGGAGCGUGUGGUUUAAUUCGAGGCUACGCGAAGAACCUUACCUAGGCUUGACAUGGACGUAGUAGGGAACUGAAAAGGGACCGACCUUCGGGAGCGUCCACAGGUGCUGCAUGGCUGUCGUCAGCUCGUGUCGUGAGAUGUUCGGUUAAGUCCGAAAACGAGCGCAACCCUCGGGGCUAGUUACAAGUGUCUAGCGCGACUGCCCGUGAGAAACGGGAGGAAGGUGGGGAUGACGUCAAGUCCGCAUGGCCUUUAUGCCUAGGGCUACACACACGCUACAAUGGACGGCACAGAUGGGAGCGAACCUGCGAGGGGGAGCGGAUCCGCGAAAGCCGUUCGUAGUUCGGAUUGCAGGCUGCAACCCGCCUGCAUGAAGCUGGAGUUGCUAGUAACCGCAGGUCAGCCACACUGCGGUGAAUACGUUCCCGGGCCUUGUACACACCGCCCGU